UGCUGAUCACUGCGUCGGCUCAGUAUGUUCCCGCGUGCCAACAGUCCAGAGCAUGCGCAGAGGGAGCGACCCCGAGAAGCAGUCGUCGUCUUCCUCGGCUCCACAAAAGUAUGUUGGAAGAGGACUUGCAGAUAGGAAACUCAAACCAAAUAUGAUACACCAAGAUCUAAGUCAGCCACUUUAUUCAUUCGGUACUGGAUAUUAUUGGCCUUUGCAUGUAGACCAGAACUGGACUUCAGAAGAGGCCUCACCAACGUCCUGUACAACCUCA
This is a long non-coding RNA of Rhincodon typus (whale shark), 271 nucleotides long. RefSeq lists it as uncharacterized. Lineage: Eukaryota; Metazoa; Chordata; Chondrichthyes; Orectolobiformes; Rhincodontidae. The transcript has 3 exons. The record is from RefSeq and is a predicted model, not a curated record.